Long non-coding RNA from Neogale vison (American mink), 430 nucleotides. RefSeq lists it as uncharacterized. The transcript has 3 exons. Lineage: Eukaryota; Metazoa; Chordata; Mammalia; Carnivora; Mustelidae. The record is from RefSeq and is a predicted model, not a curated record.
UUGGAUGUUUAACCAACUGAGCCAUCCAGCAGCUGGAUAAGAUAUCUGAGGAUCUGUGCCAGUCCACUGAGGCAAGGAGGAGUGACGUAGGUGUGUGCCACAGGAGUCUGCAGGGUUUGGACAUCGCAAAUGGGAUCGUUGUGUGCCUGAAACAGAAAACACUCCAUCAGAGGCUGGGUGAGCAUGGAGUGUGGCCAGAGACUAGGGACACCGGAAUGGUGGACUGCUUCUCUCGUAGGGCUCACUGAGGAGUGGGGCUCCCGAGCAUUCAGCUCCAGGGCCAGAAAUUGGGAGGCCUUGUUUUCAUUCUCAUCCUCUAAAGCAGAACAGAAAGCCCUCAGGGAACAAAAGCUACAUAGAGCGAUCCAGAACAGCUUUCUUAACCUGGCCCCCUGGCAAGGGCAGUGCAGUUCUGCCCAGGGCAAAGACA